RNAcentral lists this ribosomal RNA (492 nucleotides) under uncultured Brevundimonas sp. Its description in RNAcentral is "bacterial SSU rRNA". It matches the Rfam family "Bacterial small subunit ribosomal RNA", at positions 92 to 619 of the family's 1533-position model. Lineage: Bacteria; Pseudomonadati; Pseudomonadota; Alphaproteobacteria; Caulobacterales; Caulobacteraceae. The record is from RNAcentral.
UUAGUGGCGGACGGGUGAGUAACACGUGGGAACGUGCCUUUAGGUUCGGAAUAGCUCCUGGAAACGGGUGGUAAUGCCGAAUGUGCCCUUCGGGGGAAAGAUUUAUCGCCUUUAGAGCGGCCCGCGUCUUAUUAGCUUGUUGGUGAGGUAAUGGCUCACCAAGGCUACGAUCAGUAGCUGGUCUGAGAGGAUGACCAGCCACAUUGGGACUGAGACACGGCCCAAACUCCUACGGGAGGCAGCAGUGGGGAAUCUUGCGCAAUGGGCGAAAGCCUGACGCAGCCAUGCCGCGUGGAUGAUGAAGGUCUUAGGAUUGUAAAAUCCCUUCACCGGUGAAGAUAAUGACUGUAGCCGGAGAAGAAGCACCGGCUAACUACGUGCCAGCAGCCGCGGUAAUACGUAGGGUGCAAGCGUUAAUCGGAAUUACUGGGCGUAAAGCGUGCGCAGGCGGUUAUACAAGACAGGCGUGAAAUCCCCGGGCUUAGCCUGGGA